UACGUAGGGGGCAAGCGUUGUCCGGAAUCAUUGGGCGUAAAGAGCGUGUAGGCGGCCCGGUAAGUCCGCUGUGAAAGUCCAGGGCUCAACCCUGGGAUGCCGGUGGAUACUGUCGGGCUCGAGUCCGGAAGAGGAGUGUGGAAUUCCUGGUGUAGCGGUGGAAUGCGCAGAUAUCAGGAGGAACACCGGUGGCGAAGGCGGGUCUCUGGGCAGUAACUGACGCUGAGGAGCGAAAGCGUGGGGAGCGAACAGG
RNAcentral lists this ribosomal RNA (253 nucleotides) under uncultured bacterium. RNAcentral describes it as "partial 16S ribosomal RNA". It matches the Rfam family "Bacterial small subunit ribosomal RNA", at positions 524 to 776 of the family's 1533-position model. The record is from RNAcentral.